UUUGCAGGUGGUUGGUUUUUUUCUUGAUAUUGCGGAGCUGAAGAUCAGUAGGCACCUACUAAUGGCUCUAUCUCGCUGACUUCUCUGGUCAGAAUAGACAAGAGCUUCAGGUGUCUUUUUACUAGCUGAUUAUUGGUACAAGCCAUUGCUUCCCACUGUAUGAUGAAAGUCUAGGGGUCAGCAUGGGUAGUGGGUAGAACCGAAACCUGCGGGUAGAACCGGAACCGGAACCGGAACUGGAACCUACCUGGAACAGACACUGUGUGGGUAGGUUAUGGUUCCAUUUUAUUGGAACCGAAACUAUGCGGUUCUGGUUCCAAUUCCUACAAGUUUCGGAACCGAAACCUAGGAAAAGAACCUGAAGGCUGAAGCAGAAGUGAUCCAACAAGAUUUGCACGUAUGGUCAAUGGAAAGAUACGAGGCCAUCUUUCACUUUCAUAUGAUCUGAGAGCAUCUUCCACGGAUGCAGAUGUACACUUGGUUGUAUUUGCAAGUUUUUUUGCAAGA
Long non-coding RNA from Pistacia vera, 507 nucleotides. RefSeq lists it as uncharacterized. The record is from RefSeq and is a predicted model, not a curated record. The transcript is spliced from 3 exons. NCBI's taxonomy places the organism in Eukaryota, Viridiplantae, Streptophyta, Magnoliopsida, Sapindales, Anacardiaceae.